GACGAACGCUGGCGGCGUGCUUAACACAUGCAAGUCGAGCGGUAAGGCCCCUUCGGGGGUACACGAGCGGCGAACGGGUGAGUAACACGUGAGCAAUCUGCCCAUCACAUCGGGAUAACUCCGGGAAACCGAAGCUAAUACCGAAUACGACCACCUCCGGCAUCGGAUGGUGGUGGAAAGUUCCGGCGGUGAUGGAUGAGCUCGCGGCCUAUCAGCUUGUUGGUGGGGUAACGGCCCACCAAGGCUUCGACGGGUAGCCGGCCUGAGAGGGUGACCGGCCACACUGGUACUGAGACACGGCCCAGACUCCUACGGGAGGCAGCAGUGGGGAAUAUUGGACAAUGGGCGAAAGCCUGAUCCAGCAACGCCGCGUGAGGGAUGACGGCCUUCGGGUUGUAAACCUCUUUCAGCAGGGACGAAGCGCAAGUGACGGUACCUGCAGAAGAAGCACCGGCCAACUACGUG
This 465-nucleotide ribosomal RNA is filed under the name uncultured bacterium. RNAcentral's name for it is "partial 16S ribosomal RNA". It matches the Rfam family "Bacterial small subunit ribosomal RNA", at positions 28 to 507 of the family's 1533-position model. The record is from RNAcentral.